UACGGGGGGGGCAAGCGUUGUUCGGAAUUACUGGGCGUAAAGGGUUUGUAGGUGGCUUGUUAAGUCAGACGUGAAAUCCCUCAGCUUAACUGGGGAACUGCGUCUGAUACUGGCGAGCUUGAGUGCAGGAGAGGAACGCGGAAUUCCAGGUGUAGCGGUGAAAUGCGUAGAUAUCUGGAGGAACACCGGUGGCGAAGGCGGCAUCCUGGACCAACACUGACACUGAGGAGCGAAAGCCAGGGGAGCAAACGGG
This 253-nucleotide ribosomal RNA is filed under the name uncultured bacterium. RNAcentral describes it as "partial 16S ribosomal RNA". It matches the Rfam family "Bacterial small subunit ribosomal RNA", at positions 524 to 776 of the family's 1533-position model. The record is from RNAcentral.